This 117-nucleotide ribosomal RNA is filed under the name Deltaproteobacteria bacterium. The record is from RNAcentral. Lineage: Bacteria; Pseudomonadati; Myxococcota; Myxococcia.
UUCGGUGACUAUAGCGUAGGGGGUACACCCGUUCCCAUUCCGAACACGGCAGUUAAGCCCUACAGCGCCGAUGGUACUGCACGGGAGACUGUGUGGGAGAGUAGGACGUCGCCGAAA